This 547-nucleotide ribosomal RNA is filed under the name uncultured Glomeromycotina. Its description in RNAcentral is "SSU rRNA". It matches the Rfam family "Eukaryotic small subunit ribosomal RNA", at positions 548 to 1098 of the family's 1831-position model. The record is from RNAcentral. Lineage: Eukaryota; Fungi; Glomeromycota.
UUGGAGGGCAAGUCUGGUGCCAGCAGCCGCGGUAAUUCCAGCUCCAAUAGCGUAUAUUAAAGUUGCUGCAGUUAAAAAGCUCGUAGUUGAAUUUCGGGACCAUCAUGUUGGUCGUGCCUCGGUACGUACUGGCAUUGUUGGUUUCUCCCUUCUGACGAACCAUGAUGUCAUUUAUUUGGUGUUGUGGGAAAUCAGGACUGUUACUUUGAAAAAAUUAGAGUGUUUAAAGCAGGCUCACGCUUGAAUACAUUAGCAUGAAUAAUGAAAUAGGACGUUUGAUUCUAUUUUGUUGGUUUCUAGGAUCGACGUAAUGAUUAAUAGGGAUAGUUGGGGGCAUUAGUAUUCAAUUGUCAGAGGUGAAAUUCUUGGAUUUAUUGAAGACUAACUACUGCGAAAGCAUUUGCCAAGGAUGUUUUCAUUAAUCAAGAACGAAAGUUAGGGGAUCGAAGACGAUCAGAUACCGUCGUAGUCUUAACCAUAAACUAUGCCGACUAGGGAUCGGAUGAUGUUAAUUUUUUAAUGACUCAUUCGGCGCCUUACGGGAAAC